GAAUUUUCCGCAAUGGGCGAAAGCCUGACGGAGUGACGCCGCGUGUGGGACGAAGGCCUUCGGGUCGUAAACCACUGUCAAUGGGAAAGAUGGGUGUCGAUGCUAAUACCAUCGGCAUCUGACGGUACCGGCAGAGGAAGCCCCGGCCAACUCUGCGCCAGCAGCCGCGGUAAGACAGAGGGGGCAAGCGUGGCUCGGAAUUACUGGGCGUAAAGGGCGCGUAGGCGGGAUGGCAAGUCGGUCGUGAAAUCCCUCGGCUCAACCGAGGAACGUCGAUCGAUACUGCUGUUCUUGAGGAUUGCAGAGGAGACUGGAAUUCCCGGUGUAGCGGUGAAAUGUGUAGAGAUCGGGAGGAACACCGGUGGCGAAGGCGGGUCUCUGGGCAAUUCCUGACGCUGAGGCGCGAAAGCGUGGGGAGCAAACGGG
RNAcentral lists this ribosomal RNA (426 nucleotides) under uncultured bacterium. Its description in RNAcentral is "bacterial SSU rRNA". It matches the Rfam family "Bacterial small subunit ribosomal RNA", at positions 359 to 776 of the family's 1533-position model. The record is from RNAcentral.